Herpailurus yagouaroundi (jaguarundi) is the source of this 2939-nucleotide RNA transcript. It is a transcript of the gene named lysine methyltransferase 5C, with no coding region annotated. The transcript is spliced from 13 exons. The record is from RefSeq and is a predicted model, not a curated record. NCBI's taxonomy places the organism in Eukaryota, Metazoa, Chordata, Mammalia, Carnivora, Felidae.
UAGUCCCAGACUUGGACUGUCAGAACCUCCUGCGGGACUCACCUGGAAAUUGCCCACCACGGAGGUGCCCAGGGCACACAGGAGUCCGGUCCACAGGAUCAGCAGGGCCCCAGCCGCUGGAACUUCAGGCUGUUGGCUUCCUCCAGAGCACAGAUGAGACAGACAGAACAUUCCUCGAGGCCAGAAGCCAUCAACCCAUGGAGAGUGCGCCCCUGGCCACGGUGGCUUUUCCGGCUGGAGGGCAGGCACACUGGGACCCAAAAAGGAGGGUACAGAUGAGACUGGAGACCGAAACGCUUGCCAAAUCCUGCGCAGCUCACAAACGGCCCUUCCCGGGGCGCCGCCCCUGCCCCUGCAUUGUGCCCCCGACUCUUGGCCAGAGGCAGCAUGGUCCGCGGGGCACCAUGGGACCUGACAGAGUGACAGCCAGAGAGCUGUGUGAGAAUGACGACCUUGCCACCAGCCUUGUCCUGGACCCCUACCUCGGCUUCCGCACCCAUAAGAUGAACGUCAGCCCCGUGCCCCCCCUGCGGCGACAGCACCACCUGCGCUCAGCGCUGGAGGCCUUCCUGAAGCAGCGGGACCUGGAGGCUGCGUACCGGGCCCUGACGCUGGGAGGCUGGAUGGCCCACUACUUCCAGAGCCGGGGCCCGCGGCAGGAGGCUGCCCUCAAGACCCACAUCUAUCGCUACCUCCGAGCCUUCCUGCCUGAAAGCGGCUUUACCAUCCUGCCCUGUACACGCUAUUCUAUGGAGACAAAUGGAGCCAAGAUUGUGUCUACCAGAGCUUGGAAGAAGAACGAGAAGCUAGAACUGCUGGUGGGCUGCAUCGCGGAGCUGCGGGAGGCUGACGAGGGGCUGCUGAGGGCCGGCGAGAACGACUUCAGCAUCAUGUACUCCACCCGCAAGCGCAGCGCACAGCUGUGGCUGGGCCCCGCCGCCUUCAUAAACCACGACUGCAAACCCAACUGCAAGUUUGUGCCCGCAGAUGGGAACGCAGCCUGUGUGAAGGUACUCCGGGACAUUGAGCCGGGGGACGAGGUAACCUGCUUCUAUGGCGAAGGCUUCUUUGGUGAAAAGAAUGAGCACUGUGAAUGCUAUACCUGUGAGAGGAGAGGCGAAGGGGCCUUCCGACUGCGGCCCAGGGAACCCGCGCCCCCGCGGCUUCUGGACAAGUACGAGCUCCGGGAGACCAAGCGGAGGCUGCAGCAGGGCCUGGAGGGUGGUGGCCGGCUGGGCCCCAGGGCCUGCGCCCACCUGUCCCCACUGCUCCGGGACCCGUUCUGUGCUGCCUGCCAGCCCCUACGCCCCCUGCCCUGCGGCGCCCGCCCUGACGCCUCGCCCCUCUGGCUCCAGUGGCUGCCUCAGCCCCAGCCCCGGGUGCGCCCCCGGAGACGCCGACGCCCCCAGCCCCGGAGGGCCCCAGCUCCCCCCCUUCUCCGUGCUGCCCGCGUCUCCUUGCACCAGUGGGGAGGCUGUGGCCCCCGAUGCUGCCUGCAGGCGGAGGCCCUGGUGGCCCUGGGCCCGGCCCCCCGCGCCCACUGGGCCCCUCAGCAGGACUGGCACUGGGCCCGGCGCUAUGGGCUGCCUUACGUGGUGCGCGUGGACCUGAGCCGGGUGGCCCGGCCCCCACCUGCUGCCCCCGCCCCUGCCCCUGCCGGGACCCCAGGCCCCACCCCCAUCCCCAAGAAGGCCCUCGCCUUUGCCCCCUUCUCCCCACCCAAGCGCCUGCGGCUGGUGGUCAGCCAUGGUUCCAUUGACCUGGAUGUCAACGGUGACGGGCCGUGAUGGGCCGGAGGGGAGGCCCGAGGCCAGGAGAAGAUGGGAUCCUGCCUAGUCCCCCCUCCCCCACGGCCCCAUGUUCUCGGGGACUCACUGACCUCUAGAAGGAGCUCUUGGACCUCUGGGAGGGAGCUGGCCCUGGACCCCGGCACAGUUCUUACCGGGCUGGGGGCUGGGUCGGUUUGGAGACACCCAGGGAUCUGACCCCUGACCCUUUGUGACCGCUGACCCCUGAGCCGCCCCCGCCCCAUUGGGUGCCCUGGCCGCUGCUGCCCCACCCGCAUCCCCAACUCCAACCUCAGGACUACAGGAGCCGUUCCCUUCCCUACCCCCCCCUCCUGCCCAGGGAGCAAAGCCAUAAGGGGUGGGGGCCGCCCCUUGGUGUCUCCCCGGAAGCCCAGGCCUCAGGAGGCGGUGGAACUGACCUGGGGGCGGCCCCCCCUAGAGACUGCCCUGCGGAGGGGAGUGGGUUUGGGCUCAGCUCUGCGACUGUCUGAGGUGGGGGGGGGGGCAAGGUGGGGGGAUGUCUGGGACACGUCCUCACCACCCCGUGGGUCUCAGGGAGGCCGGACGCGACCUCAUCUUUCUCAUGGUGCUGUCCCUGGUGCUACUGGGGUGUGGGGGGUCCCUCCCCUCCCCCACACCAGAACGGGCUUUUCAUUUUGAUUUAUGUGUCGAGGGGAUGUUUGUGGAGCUUUGGAGGGGCGAAGGGUCGAUAGGAUGGCCCCGAGGAUGGCGGAGGACAGAGGCGAGAACCCCAUCCCCGCUGGAAGGGUGCUGGUGAAGAGUGCGAGGACUCCCCUCUCCUUCAGAUGAGGCCCGGCUCUGUGGGACCAGGGCGAUGAUGCUCCAGAUCUGGGGCCUUAGGGAACACCGCCGUCACCUUCGUGGUCACCUCCUCCCUGCCACUGUGCCUGAGACAUGGGGACAGCUACCCACCGAGCACCUGUCUGACUCCCACUGAGCCUGUUGGUUUGCAAGGAGGAAGGCGAGGAGGGCGCGGAGGGCAGACUGCAGUGCAGGUGCCUCACUGUGGCGUCUAGACCAGCAGCACAGCAGAGCCGGAAUCUCCUCCGGGAUGGAUGGACGGACAACCACGGGGCGGGGGGUUGCAAGCACUUCCAGAGAUCCUGUUGUAAAGUGUAGUAACUGCACAUG